Molecule: ribosomal RNA, 301 nt
Filed under: uncultured bacterium
Lineage: Bacteria
Description: partial 16S ribosomal RNA
Rfam family: Bacterial small subunit ribosomal RNA
Source: RNAcentral
CAGCAGCCGCGGUAAUACAGAGGGUGCAAGCGUUAAUCGGACUUAUUGGGCGUAAAGGGUGCGUAGGUGGUCAUUUAAGUCAGAUGUGAAAUCCCAGGGCUUAACCUUGGAAUUGCAUUUGAUACUGGGUGGCUAGAGUACAGAAGAGGGAAGUGGAAUUUCCGGUGUAGCGGUGAAAUGCGUAGAUAUCGGAAGGAACAUCAGUGGCGAAGGCGACUUCCUGGUCUGUAACUGACACUGAGGCACGAAAGCGUGGGGAGCAAACAGGAUUAGAUACCCCUGUAGUCCCUGUCUCUUAUAC